GACGAACGCUGGCGGCGUGCUUAACACAUGCGAGUCGAACGAGAAUCUGUGGAUCGAGGAUUCGUCCAAGUGAAGCAGAGGACAGUGGCGGACGGGUGAGUAACGCGUGAGGAACCUGCCUUUCAGAGGGGGACAACAGUUGGAAACGACUGCUAAUACCGCAUGAUACAUUUGGGUGGCAUCAUCUGAAUGUCAAAGAUUUAUCGCUGAAAGAUGGCCUCGCGUCUGAUUAGCUAGUUGGUGAGGUAACGGCCCACCAAGGCGACGAUCAGUAGCCGGACUGAGAGGUUGACCGGCCACAUUGGGACUGAGAUACGGCCCAGACUCCUACGGGAGGCAGCAGUGGGGAAGUAUUGGGCAAUGGGCGCAAGCCUGACCCAGCAACGCCGCGUGAAGGAAGAAGGCUUCGGGUUGUAAACUUCUUUUAAGAGGGAAGAGCAGAAGACUGUACCUCUAGAAUAAGCCACGGCUAACUACGUGCUAGCA
This 486-nucleotide ribosomal RNA is filed under the name uncultured bacterium. Its description in RNAcentral is "bacterial SSU rRNA". It matches the Rfam family "Bacterial small subunit ribosomal RNA", at positions 28 to 513 of the family's 1533-position model. The record is from RNAcentral.